GUGUCAGCAGCCGCGGUAAUACAGGGGGUGCAAACGUUGCUCGGAAUUAUUGGGCGUAAAGCGCGCGUAGGCGGCUACUUAAGUCGGAUGUGAAAGCCCCUGGCUCAACCGGGGAAGUGCACCCGAAACUGAGUAGCUUGAGUGCAAAAGAGGGCUGCGGAAUUCCCGGUGUAGAGGUGAAAUUCGUAGAUAUCGGGAGGAACACCGGUGGCGAAGGCGGCAGCCUGGGUUGACACUGACGCUGAGGCGCGAAAGCGUGGGGAGCAAACAGGAUUAGAAACCCUAGUAGUCC
This 292-nucleotide ribosomal RNA is filed under the name uncultured bacterium. Its description in RNAcentral is "partial 16S ribosomal RNA". It matches the Rfam family "Bacterial small subunit ribosomal RNA", at positions 505 to 796 of the family's 1533-position model. The record is from RNAcentral.